UCCACCCACAUCCGUGUUACAGGAAGGACCAAACUUUGAACCCAACUAGACUUUUGUAGGAAAGCGGCUAAUGUGUUCCAGGAAGCUGUGUUAAGGGAACACAUGAAGCGAACGGCAGCUUGUGAGCUCACAGUCCUCUGCACAAAACCCUUCCCUGAGAUUUUUCACCUGAAAUCACGGACCAGGUGACCACAUCAGCUAAGCUCAACCCUGCAGUCAUCCCGUCCCAGGUGCCAGAGAGUGAGUGAAGAAGCCUCCAGAAGAUUCCUGCCAUGCUCUGUCUGAAUUUCUUACCUAUGAAUUUAUGAGUGUAAAAAAUAAAUUGACAA
Non-coding RNA from Puma concolor (puma), 329 nucleotides. NCBI's taxonomy places the organism in Eukaryota, Metazoa, Chordata, Mammalia, Carnivora, Felidae. The record is from RefSeq and is a predicted model, not a curated record.